UACUUCCUCAGCAUAUUUUGGUUAUUGCGAAUUGCGAUUUAUUGUACAAUUCGUAAAUGUUUGGCUACCUAGGCUGGCUUGGCUUGGCUGCAAUGAGCCGACGUUCACACGUGGUGGGUAUUGUUGGUGGCACCGAGCAGCAUCCCUGAAGCCCACAGGGGUGGCCGUGCUGCAGGAGGGGCGCGGGCGUGGGGCGUGCGGCGAGGCGGCGCCGCCUCCGCCGCUCCCAGGUCGCGCGGCGCGCCGGCCCGGCCGCCCGGCCCAGUCCGCGACUAGCAGCGCCGCCGUGCGCACGUGCCGCGCGCGCGCCGCUCGCCGCGCUGCCUCGUGGCGACCGCGCAUCAUACCACCACUACACCACGCACCACGCUCUCCGACCGGAGUUGCGGUUCGCAUCUUACCGGGCAGCAUUAGAGUCAAAUAGUUAUUUCUAAUACUGUCAGGUAAAGAUGUCGUCCGCGCUCCACGUUCUACGUUUGACUUCUGGAAUUCUUCGAAACCGGUCCAGCAACGGCGGUUAUAUUUACCGGAUUCCGGUGCUCAUUGGAAGCUGUUCUGUACGCAUCAGCCACAGGGUGGUGCGGCGCUGCGGGCCCGGCGCCGGCCACACGCACCGUCCCCCGGCCCGCGCCCAGCCUGUGUCCGGCCCGCGCCGCGCGGCUGCUGGACGGCCAGGUCCUCAUGUACUGUAGCACUAUUAAGUAAAAUCUGAUAACUUUGAAAAUAAAUGUGUAUUAUAAAAGUGA
Molecule: long non-coding RNA, 746 nt
Organism: Spodoptera frugiperda (fall armyworm)
Lineage: Eukaryota; Metazoa; Arthropoda; Insecta; Lepidoptera; Noctuidae
Exons: 2
Source: RefSeq, a predicted model, not a curated record